AGAAACCCAAAAGAUCGAAUGGGGAGAUUCAUCGUCAGCUCAUUUUGUAUAUAUAUGAGGUAUGAUAUGGGUUACUACUUGUAGUAUUGCCUGUACAUUUUGUAUAUUUUAUUGCAAGAUGUUGUCGGCGUGCACUUCUCCCCUAGUAGGACGUCGCGACCCGUUGAGUGUCGGUCUACGGCCCAAGUGGUAGCCUUUAAUUUUUUUAAAAUUGAAGACCCUUGGUGUUUCCUGACUGGCUACUCGGCGGUAUUCGUACGGUAUUAAGCCGCAUUUUUGCGUUCAUAUCCGUCGCAAGCGCGGUCAAUUUUUGGCAGUACGGACCUAGUGCCGUCGCUAUAAUUGACCAGCUGUUGGUUGUACGGUGUUCUAGAACUGGCUUAUAUAUAUAUACCGGUCAGCGAUGCUUCAGCUUUGGUA
Molecule: ribosomal RNA, 420 nt
Filed under: Phaenocarpa sp.
Lineage: Eukaryota; Metazoa; Arthropoda; Insecta; Hymenoptera; Braconidae
Description: eukaryotic LSU rRNA
Source: RNAcentral